This 440-nucleotide ribosomal RNA is filed under the name uncultured bacterium. RNAcentral's name for it is "partial 16S ribosomal RNA". It matches the Rfam family "Bacterial small subunit ribosomal RNA", at positions 339 to 795 of the family's 1533-position model. The record is from RNAcentral.
CUACGGGCCGCUGCAGUAGGGAAUAUUGGACAAUGGGCGAAAGCCUGAUCCAGCAACACCGCGUGCACGAUGACGGCCUUCGGGUUGUAAAGUGCUUUUAGAGGAGAUGAGAAAGGACAGUAUCCUCUGAAUAAGCCUCGGCGAACCACGUGCCAGCAGCCGCGGUAAAACGUAGGAGGCAAGCGUUAUCCGGAUUUAUUGGGCGUAAAGCGCGUGCAGGCGGUCUAGCAAGUUGGAUGUGAAAGCUCCCGGCUCAACUGGGAGAGGGCGUUCAAUACUGUUAGACUAGAGAAUAGGAGAGGGAGGUGGAAUUCCGGGUGUAGUGGUGAGAUGCGUAGAUAUCCGGAGGAACACCAGUGGCGAAAGCGGCCUCCUGGACUAUUUCUGACGCUAAGACGCGAAAGCUAGGGUAGCAAACGGGAUUAGAUACCCCCGUAGUC